RNAcentral lists this small RNA (115 nucleotides) under unclassified sequences. Its description in RNAcentral is "LOOT RNA". It matches the Rfam family "LOOT RNA". From Rfam's summary of the family: Latescibacteria, OD1/Parcubacteria, OP11, TM7. Lineage (Microgenomates, aka OP11) The record is from Rfam by way of RNAcentral.
UGCCUACAGCCCUAAAGGCCAUGGCAUAAAAUACCGACGAAGAUUACUGAACCCACUGUUCAGGCUCCUUCGUCGGUCCAUGCUCGAAAGGGUAUGGGAGAGUCGCAAGAUUCUC